GUCGGUAAAACUCGUGCCAGCCACCGCGGUUAUACGAGAGACCCGAGUUGAUGAGUUUCGGCGUAAAGUGUGGUUAGGAAAUUUGCCGUCUAAAGUUAAACCCCUCCAGAACAGUUAUACGCCCCCGGAGGGGGGAAGCCCGACCACGAAAGUAGCUUUAAGCCUCCGACCCCACGACAGCUAUGAUACAAACUGGGAUUAGAUACCCCACUAUG
This 215-nucleotide ribosomal RNA is filed under the name Saurida brasiliensis (Brazilian lizardfish). RNAcentral describes it as "partial small subunit ribosomal RNA". The record is from RNAcentral. Lineage: Eukaryota; Metazoa; Chordata; Actinopteri; Aulopiformes; Synodontidae.